CUACAAAUGAGGCCUGCAGGUGGGAGAGGCGGAGCCGCGCCGCGCUGACGCCGCAUCUUCCCGCCUCCCAGUGGGCCGGGCGCGCUUGGGUUAGGCUUCUGAGUGCGGACUGGUAACAAAUGGCUGGGCCCUGAAAGCGGAGCGCCCUUGAGGGGGGUGGUUUAGGGUAGCCAUUCGCGGCUUCCCGCCGCUGUGAGAAUUAUGUCAGAAAAGAAGGCCUUCCCCCAAGGCAGGGGCGUCACGCGUGGCCGCGGUGGCCGGGGGCGUGAGGUGGAUUUGGCCCCUGGAGCCCGGAGUGCCACUUCCCAGACCCACGUGGAGAAGUCCCAUGCAGGCAGUAGUAGCUCUGCCAGCUCAUUCGAGUCCUCCCACCCUCUGCGGCGGACCGUCUCCCAGCCCCCUCCCUCGACUCGGACGAACGAAUCCAUUCAGGAGCAGGGGAGUCCUUCGAGUGCCCUCAACAUCCCUCAGAGCCUCAGUGAUAAUUUUGGCCAGAGGAAUGCCCAGGGCCUCCGCGUUCACCAUCGGGGCGUUCAGGUCCCCACAGUUGCCUCAGACUCCACCCUCCUUAGCUCUUUCUCUCAGCGCAUAUCCACAGUAGGAUCCAUCCCAAUGCCAGACUCAUCCCUAUCUGGGCAAAGGUUUUCGUUAGCUUCUGUGCAAGUGUCCUCCAUGGCUUCUAUACUUAGCACUUCUGUUGAGUCAGAACUGGGGUCUAUCCCUGCCUCACUGACCAGCACUCCCCAAGGGUCCGCAGUGGAGCCCACUCCAUCCCUUCCAUCCGUAUUGUGUCGCCCCUCCUGGGGAUUGGCACCAGAACAUCUUACACACAGAAGCACAUCCCUGCCAGACACACCAGACAACUCCCCACUAGAAUCGGCAGAAGAUUCCCUCAGGCAUUCUGUAUCAGCCUCUUCUUGGUUAUCACCAUCAACACUUUCUGCUCCCCUUGACGAAUCCCUGCUGCCUAUGUCACUCGAUAGUCCUAUAUCCACAUCUCCUCCACUGUAUGAUCAAGGGCCCGCUCCUUUCCUUGCCUCUCAAGUGCCUAUGCUAGGGCCAUCCCUGCCCUGCGUAUGGGGCUCUCCCUGGGUAUCUCAGCAAGGAUCAGCUCCGCCCCUGAACGCUCCCCUAGCCUUUGCACUAGAGCGCGCUCCGCCUUCAGGGCCGGGCUCUUCCCGGGUAUGGAUAGAUACAUCAGCUCCGCCCUCGGACUUCAGUCAAGGGGCGGUACAAGGGUCUGUUCCACCCUGGGCGGUCCCCCCUUUUAAACCCAAGUCUCGGGAGAAUUUUACCCAAACCAUGACGGAUCUGGAGAAGCCCAGUAUCACAGGCCACAUGUUCGACGUAGUCGUGAUUGGAGGCGGCAUCUCAGGUUAGUUUGGAUCUUUAAUAGUAGCAUAAGGGGCCCUAGAUGACCAGGGGUAGGGAACUUGCAGUGUCCCUGUUGUGUUUGGGAGGGUCUUUCUCCUCCGUGU
This 1478-nucleotide long non-coding RNA is filed under the name Mus spicilegus (steppe mouse). Its description in RNAcentral is "lncRNA (ENSMSIG00000002155.1)". Lineage: Eukaryota; Metazoa; Chordata; Mammalia; Rodentia; Muridae. The record is from RNAcentral.